RNAcentral lists this ribosomal RNA (253 nucleotides) under uncultured bacterium. RNAcentral describes it as "partial 16S ribosomal RNA". It matches the Rfam family "Bacterial small subunit ribosomal RNA", at positions 524 to 776 of the family's 1533-position model. The record is from RNAcentral.
UACGGAGGGUGCAAGCGUUAUCCGGAUUCACUGGGUUUAAAGGGUGCGUAGGCGGACAGGUAAGUCAGCGGUGAAAUCUCCGAGCUUAACUCGGAAACUGCCGUUGAUACUAUUUGUCUUGAAUAUUGUGGAGGUAAGCGGAAUAUGUCAUGUAGCGGUGAAAUGCUUAGAUAUGACAUAGAACACCAAUUGCGAAGGCAGCUUACUACACAACAAUUGACGCUGAGGCACGAAAGCGUGGGGAUCAAACAGG